Molecule: small RNA, 128 nt
Filed under: Salmonella enterica
Lineage: Bacteria; Pseudomonadati; Pseudomonadota; Gammaproteobacteria; Enterobacterales; Enterobacteriaceae
Also listed under: 1 other name
Description: partial RtT sRNA
Rfam family: RtT RNA
About the family: This family represents a bacterial cis-regulatory element known as RtT RNA. The exact function of RtT is unknown although it is thought that it may be involved in changing the cellular response in relation to amino acid starvation.
Source: RNAcentral
GCAGGUUCGAAUCCUGCACGACCCACCAAUAUACAAGGUGGUAACUGGUAGAGAACGUGAAGGAUAAUGUUGCUUUAGCAACGGCCCGAAGGGCGAGGCAAAGCCGAGUCAUCCUGCACGACCCACCA